Molecule: long non-coding RNA, 439 nt
Organism: Polyodon spathula (Mississippi paddlefish)
Lineage: Eukaryota; Metazoa; Chordata; Actinopteri; Acipenseriformes; Polyodontidae
Exons: 3
Source: RefSeq, a predicted model, not a curated record
GGAUGUGGUACUUGAGGGUGUUUUGUUUUUCUUAUUCUAAUAAGGUUCCAUUUAACAUUUUCUAGGCUGUUUAUUAUAACCCUAGUAAUGACCUUUUGAAGGAGUAAGCUAAGAAUACUAAAGGUUCCUUAAGAAUUUAGACUUUAAGAUCAGGAAACGCUUUUCCUUGAAAAACCGACCUAUGCAUAAUAGAAUGUGGUCAAUAAGUUGGCCUACAUUUCUCGGUUCAGUCUUUUAAAUUGGGCACACAUUAGGGAUUGCUUUGGGAUUUUUACACAGGCUGAACUGUAUGUGGAUGUUUCUUUGGACCUAGAGCUCCACACAGUGAAGAGAGCGGAGAAGAAGUCGGUAAAUUGAGAGCGAGAGCGAAUGCUAUCUGAUUUCAGAGAUCAAAAAAGUGCUAACAGGUUCAGUUCAGUCAGUACUUUUGAAUUUUCCA